CGUCAGCAGUACUCCGAGGAGACAUUAUUGAUUUUUGAAGGAGCUGUUGCUGGCCCUUUAUUGGGUAUGUGCACGCUCCGUUCAAUCCAUCUUACCACUGUGCACUCUUUGUAGGUUGGUCGAAAGGCCUUCCUAUGUCAUUUAUAAACUCUUAAUAGUUUUGGAAUGUUGAUGGCGUAUAACGCAUUUUAAUACAACUUUCAGCAACGGAUCUCUUGGCUCUCGCAUCGAUGAAGAACGCAGCGAAAUGCGAUAAGUAAUGUGAAUUGCAGAAUUCAGUGAAUCAUCGAAUCUUUGAACGCACCUUGCGCUCCUUGGUAUUCCGAGGAGCAUGCCUGUUUGAGUGUCAUGGAAUUCUCAACUCUUCUGUCUUUGUCGAUGGAAGGGCUUGGAUUUGGAGGUGAUUGCUGGCCUGCUCAUGGUCGGCUCCUCUCGAAAAUAUUAGCUUGAACCUCUGUGGAUCAGGUGUUCGGUGUGAUAAUUGUCUACGCCGUUCCUGUGAAGCCUUCAGUGUGGGGAUCGGCUUCCAAUCGUCUUGUUUGCGAGACAAUUUACUUUGACCUCUGACCUCAAAUCAGGCAGGAUUACCCGCUGAACUUAAGCAUAUCAAAAGCCCGGAGGGAA
RNAcentral lists this ribosomal RNA (624 nucleotides) under Osteina obducta. RNAcentral describes it as "eukaryotic LSU rRNA". The stretch from base 196 to 349 matches the Rfam family "5.8S ribosomal RNA". Lineage: Eukaryota; Fungi; Basidiomycota; Agaricomycetes; Polyporales; Postiaceae. The record is from RNAcentral.